GCAAGUCGAGCGAGAAGUUAUUUAAUGAAUCUUCGGAUGAUUUAAAUAAUGGAAAGCGGCGGACGGGUGAGUAACGCGUGGGUAACCUGCCCUAUGCAGGGGGAUAACACACUGAAAAGUGUGCUAAUACCGCAUAAGACCACAGCAUCACAUGAUGUAGAGGUAAAAACUCCGGUGGCAUAGGAUGGACCCGCGUCUGAUUAGCUAGUAGGUAAGGUAACGGCUUACCUAGGCAACGAUCAGUAGCCGACCUGAGAGGGUGAUC
RNAcentral lists this ribosomal RNA (265 nucleotides) under uncultured bacterium. RNAcentral's name for it is "partial 16S ribosomal RNA". It matches the Rfam family "Bacterial small subunit ribosomal RNA", at positions 57 to 305 of the family's 1533-position model. The record is from RNAcentral.